AGAGAUGGACUGCCUGUCAUCAAAACUAACAAACAACUUUAAUUUUAUUUUUGAACGUUUGUUUGUUCGUUUCUGCCAAAAAUGAUUAAAAUCAUGACAUCAGCUUGCAUUUGCUGUUAUUAACAUUACAAAGAGCAGACUUCAUACUUGGUGACUAAAGGACUUUAUAACUUUCUCUCUCAUUAAUUAUUAACAGUCGGUUCAGAUUAUUAGACUAUUAUUCAACCCUCAGUCCUCUGAUCAGAUUCAGGGCCCUCCAGUUAGAAAUUACACUGGAAUUUCCUAUUGGAAUAACCUAGAAUACUGAGAAAACUGGGCGGAUUAUAACCAGCAUAUAUUAUGUUUGACAAGCAAAGCACUGGAUUCCUGUAAAAAGAUAUCUGAGGUCACAUCCCUGAGGGGCGUGCUGACAUCACCACAGUCGUGCGAGCUCAUCUGCAACUAAAUGUGCAGAAGGCCGCUGCUUUAGCUGAUGAAGGAAAACGUUUGCAAAAUAUUGCAAAAAACGUUGCUGAAAUCCAGAGAGUCAAUGCUGGGCUGGAGUCUGAUCAAAGAACAGGAAGAACCAGGAUCAGACGUGACAUUGAUAAAGAGAGAGAGAGAGUCAGGGAAUAAAAGAUAUACCAGUCUGUAUCAUCUUACAUAUUUUGCAUCACUUUCUGUUUUCUCUCACACAUACUCUCCUCAGUUUUACACUACACAACAUUUAUGUACUGGAAAAUGGAAACGUUUUGUGAUUUUUUAAAGCAACACUAUGUAGUUUCCAUGUUAAAAGGACUUACAGCUCCCCCAUGUGGUUGAAAAGUGCAACAGUGCCUGGUAUCAGACACUCUUCUGCAGGCAGGGGGAGGGGCGGGGCUGUGUUUCCUACUCUCCACCGCCACUUUCAGAGUGUGCUUGUAGCAGCUAGGAGGCUGCUCAGGUUGCAGCAACAGUACAAUUUGUCCAGUUAAAAGUUGUUCUAUCACUGAAAUAAUUUUAGAGACAUUAUUUAAAGGGAAAAAAAACUACAUAGUGUUGCUUUAAGUUUUGCGUACAGACGACAACGUUUUAAAACAAUUUACAAUAGACAAAAUCAUGACAAUAACACAAAAAUGACACAACAGUGUUAUGCAUAUCAUGCAAUAUGCAUGCACCUCAUAUAUUGUUUUUGCAGUUUACACAGAAGUGGUAUUGUUUUUGAAAACUCUGAAACGCUUAUUAAAAAGUUUGCCUUUUCAGGCACGCAAAAUGCUGUUGUUGUUUAAAUAAAUGGCCAAAUGGCCAUUAAAAGCAUUUUGUUUUUAAUUAAAAAUGGUGUUGUGUAAACACCACCUCAAUUUACAUUUUUUGGCUUCCAUAAUAAUCAUAGUCUUGUAUAGCAAGACCUUUGACUUUAGACAUGGCAUAAUGUCUAAGUGGAGCACUUUGCAGUUUAUUUAGGCCAAUAACCCUACUGAAAAAUCCAGCUAAGACCAGCAUAAGCUGGUGAGCUGGUUUUAGC
This is a non-coding RNA of Misgurnus anguillicaudatus (oriental weatherfish), 1483 nucleotides long. Lineage: Eukaryota; Metazoa; Chordata; Actinopteri; Cypriniformes; Cobitidae. The record is from RefSeq and is a predicted model, not a curated record.